UACGGAGGGUGCGAGCGUUAAUCGGAAUUACUGGGCGUAAAGCGCUCGUAGGUAGUAUGUCAAGUCAAGGGUGAAAUCCCCGCGCUCAACGUGGGAACUGCCUUUGAAACUGUCAAACUAGAGUGUGUGAGAGGAUAGUGGAAUUCCAGGUGUAGGAGUGAAAUCCGUAGAUAUCUGGAGGAACAUCAGUGGCGAAGGCGACUAUCUGGCACAUAACUGACACUGAGGAGCGAAAGCGUGGGUAGCAAACAGG
RNAcentral lists this ribosomal RNA (253 nucleotides) under uncultured bacterium. RNAcentral describes it as "partial 16S ribosomal RNA". It matches the Rfam family "Bacterial small subunit ribosomal RNA", at positions 524 to 776 of the family's 1533-position model. The record is from RNAcentral.